This 198-nucleotide ribosomal RNA is filed under the name uncultured bacterium. RNAcentral's name for it is "partial 16S ribosomal RNA". It matches the Rfam family "Bacterial small subunit ribosomal RNA", at positions 335 to 524 of the family's 1533-position model. The record is from RNAcentral.
ACUCCUACGGGAGGCAGCAGUGGGGAAUCUUCCGCAAUGGGCGAAAGCCUGACGGAGCAACGCCGCGUGAGUGAAGAAGGCCUUCGGGUCGUAAAGCUCUGUUGUUCGGGACGAAUGGCAGUACGAAGAACAAGCGUACUGCAUGACGGUACCGGACGAGGAAGCCACGGCUAACUACGUGCCAGCAGCCGCGGUAAU